AUUUAGCCGCGAUGGGAGCAAGUAUCCUUUUUAUAAACGCUUAUAACCCUUUCAGAGUUUUGAACUCUGAAAGGGUUGCGUUUAAAAAAGAUACUGCGGACAGCGGGACAACUU
This 114-nucleotide small RNA is filed under the name Flavobacterium xueshanense. Its description in RNAcentral is "Flavo-1 RNA". Lineage: Bacteria; Pseudomonadati; Bacteroidota; Flavobacteriia; Flavobacteriales; Flavobacteriaceae. The record is from RNAcentral.